ACGGAAGGCAGCAGUGGGGAAUAUUGCACAAUGGGGGAAACCCUGAUGCAGCGACGCCGCGUGAGUGAAGAAGUUAUUCGUAAUGUAAAGCUCUAUCAGCAGGGAAGAAAAUGACGGUACCUGACUAAGAAGCCCCGGCUAACUACGUGCCAGCAGCCGCGGUAAUACGUAGGGGGCAAGCGUUAUCCGGAUUUACUGGGUGUAAAGGGAGCGUAGACGGUCUGGCAAGUCUGAUGUGAAAGGCAGGGGCUCAACUCCUGGACUGCAUUGGAAACUGUCAGUCUUGAGUGUCGGAGAGGUAAGCGGAAUUCCUAGUGUAGCGGUGAAAUGCGUAGAUAUUAGGAGGAACACCAGUGGCGAAGGCGGCUUACUGGACGAUAACUGACGUUGAGGCUCGAAAGCGUGGGGAGCAAAUAGGAUUAGAUACCCUGGUA
This 434-nucleotide ribosomal RNA is filed under the name uncultured Lachnospiraceae bacterium. RNAcentral's name for it is "partial 16S ribosomal RNA". It matches the Rfam family "Bacterial small subunit ribosomal RNA", at positions 341 to 792 of the family's 1533-position model. Lineage: Bacteria; Bacillati; Bacillota; Clostridia; Lachnospirales; Lachnospiraceae. The record is from RNAcentral.